Long non-coding RNA from Patella vulgata (common limpet), 1212 nucleotides. RefSeq lists it as uncharacterized. NCBI's taxonomy places the organism in Eukaryota, Metazoa, Mollusca, Gastropoda, Patellidae. The transcript is spliced from 3 exons. The record is from RefSeq and is a predicted model, not a curated record.
UUAAAAAUUAAAAAUAAAAUUAUAAAAAUAUAAAAUACUGUAUAUUAAUUCAAUGGGCAGAAAAUCAUGGACUCCGGAGAAUGUCAUACAUGUAAACCAGGAUGGUAUGGUAAAAACUGUGAGUCAACAUGUACAGUUAUCAACUGUGGGCGUAACUGUGACAAGGAUACGGGACAGUGUAGUGAAUGUAAUCGAGGAUGGUUUGGCACUAACUGUCAACAUCUUUGUAACAACGGCUGCUCAAGCAAAUGUCAUAAAGAUACCGGGAUUUGUACAGAUGUGUGUCAAUGUGAACAUUGUGUCCAGGGUAGAUAUGGUACUGACUGUCAACUGGGAUGUAAUUAUGGAUGUAUAAACAUUAACUGUAGCAAAGAUACUGGUGCUUGUACUGAAGGAUGUAAUCUGGGAAAAUAUUCACCAAUCUGUGGCUCAACAUGUGAAGUAAGGAAUUGUGUAGGUAACUGUGAUAGGAUUACAGGAGACUGUGACGCUUGUCAAUCUGGAUGGUAUGGUACCAAUUGUGAAUCGAAAUGUUCUCUAACCUGUAUCGGAGAAUGUGCUAAAUCUGAUGGAACCUGUUUUAUCUGUAAACCCGGUUGGUUUGGUGCUAAAUGUGGUUCAAAAUGUUCUAUUACUUGUAGUGGAGAAUGUAAUAUAACAACAGGAAGAUGUUCAUAUACUGAAUGUAAACAAGAGAUGGUUAAAGAUGAAGAUAUGAGUCCAGUAGUAGCUGGUAUUAUUGGUGCUAUAUUUGGAAUAGUGGUUACAGUGAUAAUUGGAGUUUUAUCAUUUUUUUUCUACAUUAAAAGGAACCAACUCCCUGUACCAACAACACAGGCAAAUUCGCCGACCGAACUGAAUACAUAUGAUACUCCCAACCACGUCUCUGUUGGACAAAGUGAAGACAUUAAUCUAUAUACAAAUUUAGACCUCUAGCUGCAUGGUUCGCCAACUACAAUUUGAGAGGAGUAUAAAAUAGAUCAGCAUAUUGUUAAACUCAUUCUAAUUAAAUCCAAGCAAAAUGUUUGCAUAAACUCGAUUUAGGACCAGAUGAAAAUCGUGAUAAUUGUCAAUUAAAUGCUAUAGUUUUACUAACAGUUCUGAAUUGGCAUAAAAUUAAAUAUUGGCAAAAAUAGGUAAUGGCUUCAACCCUGGCCAAGAAUAGUGUAUUGGUUAAAGAUUUGUUCAUUUCUUAAAAUGGCAUAUUUUAGA